Molecule: long non-coding RNA, 1749 nt
Filed under: Strigops habroptila (Kakapo)
Lineage: Eukaryota; Metazoa; Chordata; Aves; Psittaciformes; Psittacidae
Description: lncRNA (ENSSHBG00005000530.1)
Source: RNAcentral
UUGAGAUUGUUACUGAUAAAAUGUAGUUUUAUUAAAUUAUAAAUUCCGUAACAAAAACGAGACAGAUCAGAAAGACCUCAAAAACAACCUACAAGGACUAGAUGGCAAAGCAAUGAAAAUGCCAUGAAGAGUGUAUAGGUAAGAAUUUGCGAUGGAAGUUAACAGCAUUUUUACAUUUCCAUUGAAGAAAGGUAAGUGAUUGCUCUUGUCUAGUAAAAACACAUUUUUAAACUCCAAGCUCACAUCUAUUUUCUCACAUUAAAUUAGCGUCCUGCUCACACCCCACAUCUUGCCUGCCUCCCACAUUGCUUUAGUGUUCUUUUCAUACAUCAAUCCAUGCAGAAAGUAGUAAGACACUUAACGCAACAGUCAGAUAAUGAAGACAAUUCAAGUUGUACAGUAGAUAUACAUUGGCCAAAAGGGACUGAGUUCUCCAAGGGGAGAUGCUACAAAAAUAAACACAAGACAUUUCAAGAAAACUGGGCAUGCUAAGCAGCUUUCAAACCAUUAAACAGGACAACCCAGUUUCCCUACAGUUAAUAGUCUUCCAAGCUGAGACAUGUUAAGAGACUUAAGUUAAACAGCCAAAUCUGUCUUCUCCCCUCACCCCCCCCCCCCCCACCAAACACACUGCUAGGUUUGAGUGCAAUGCCAACGUGGACAGAAAAUUUACAGAUACAGGACUGAGUUUUUAAUCGCAUGGCUCUAGAUUUAAACUUCAGUGACUGUGCACUGUCCAUCCGGCCUUCUAGAUCUUACACUUGUGUUUGCACCCCCGCCCCCUGCAACUGGUCUAUCUGCUCCCAAACUGGCUUGCACUUGCAUUCAAGUGUCUUCUGCUGGACAGAGGACAGGCGCUUGCUGAGGUGGGCAGACACCUCCUCACUAUCGCUGCUAGCAUCUGAUUCGGUCCCUCCUCAACAGAGGUGUUCGGGGGCUGGGCACCCUACAGAAGAUGACGAUUCGUGGUCUUCUUCUCCCUCUCCCUGUGACUCCUUUCAGCCAUAUUGUCUUCAUUUAUUUGCAAGUGGGCAAAAGAGUUCUCUAGGGAAUUGCUCGCAUCAGGUGAUGGUGUUGAAGGACUCAUGAGCUGACCAUCUAGCGAUGGCAGGGGCCUAGCAGAAAUGGAUGCUAGAGGCUGCCCAGCUGCAGCCCCCAGAGUCAGCGUGCUGUCUGCACCAUCAGCAGAGCUCUCUCUUGCCAGGUUGACAGUGUUAGCGUCACAGUCCAACCUCAGCCCAGCCACUCCCUUCUUUGGUAUAUCUAUUUAUGUCCCGUUUUAUUUUCUGCGGCGUCCAUGUUCAUUUCUCCUGUACUGAACCAUAUUUUCAAGGUCUGCUACGUAUAAAACCCGGCGAUUAGCAUUUCAGUGCUCUUUUUACCCUUGGAAAAGGCAUCUUCCAAGCUCUCUGCUGGUACGUUCAUCAUACUGCCACCAACCAUUUCUACCUUCAUAGUACCAAGCAUAUUCUCCAUUGCCUCUGCUUGCUGCUUUGAGUUCUUCUGGUGACAAUAAGGUUGGCUUGUCAAGAAAAUCCUCUGGAAUCUCCUGCCGGCAAAGUGCACAUCGUUUCCCAAGCCAAGAAGCUCCCUUCACACAUAGAUAGCAGAAAACAUGUUUACAAGGCAGACUUACUGGAUGCACACACGUUUGCAGAACAGAUAGCACAUUCAGGGACUGUCAGGGAAGGUGCUGCAUUAGCACACGACUCAUUUGUCUUCCUAAUUUGUGGGCAGCAUGUUGAUUGA